UGAUUUCGUUUCAUUUUGAUGAUAAUGAUGAUACAGUGAUGUUGGGCUUUGAUUUCCGGCGAGGAUGAUGGCGAUGAAAGAUGAUUUAUGCGUUGAUGAUGAUGGCGAUGGUGAUGAUGUUGAGCUUUGAUGGGUUUUGAUGAUUUCCGGCGAGGGUGAUGAUGAUGGCGAUGGUGAUGAUGUUGAGCUUUGAUGGGUUUUGAUGAUUUCCGGCGAGGGUGAUGUUGAUGGCGACGGUGAUGAUGAAAAUGGUUUCCGUUUAUGCGAUGGUGAUGAAAAUGGCGAGGGUGAUGAAAAUGG
This 300-nucleotide long non-coding RNA is filed under the name Trifolium pratense (red clover). Its description in RNAcentral is "long non-coding RNA (TPRA_LNC011479)". Lineage: Eukaryota; Viridiplantae; Streptophyta; Magnoliopsida; Fabales; Fabaceae. The record is from RNAcentral.